This 219-nucleotide unclassified non-coding RNA is filed under the name Glomeraceae sp. RNAcentral describes it as "partial contains 5.8S ribosomal RNA and internal transcribed spacer 2". The stretch from base 1 to 65 matches the Rfam family "5.8S ribosomal RNA", at positions 84 to 154 of the family's 154-position model. The record is from RNAcentral. Lineage: Eukaryota; Fungi; Glomeromycota; Glomeromycetes; Glomerales; Glomeraceae.
GUGAAUCAUCAAAUUUUUGAACGCAAAUUGCACUCUCUUGGGAGAGUAUGCCUGUUUGAGGGUCAGUAUUAAUAAAAAUCGGUGUGUUGCUUCUUUGUGAUGAUCCGGAGUUUGGGUCUUUGUAAUAUUUUUUAGGUUUUAAGAGGUUUAAAAUUGACUUUUUUUGUGGAUUUUAGAUGUACAGAUAUUUUUUUUUUUAUUGGUUGGUCUUAAGGCUCA